RNAcentral lists this ribosomal RNA (1779 nucleotides) under Listeria monocytogenes. RNAcentral describes it as "partial 23S ribosomal RNA". It matches the Rfam family "Bacterial large subunit ribosomal RNA", at positions 1 to 1770 of the family's 2925-position model. Lineage: Bacteria; Bacillati; Bacillota; Bacilli; Caryophanales; Listeriaceae. The record is from RNAcentral.
UUGGUUAAGUUAGAAAGGGCGCACGGUGGAUGCCUUGGCACUAGGAGCCGAAGAAGGACGGGACUAACACCGAUAUGCUUUGGGGAGCUGUACGUAAGCGUUGAUCCAGAGAUUUCCGAAUGGGGGAACCCACUAUCUUUAGUCGGAUAGUAUCCUUACGUGAAUACAUAGCGUAAGGAAGGCAGACCCAGGGAACUGAAACAUCUAAGUACCUGGAGGAAGAGAAAGAAAAAUCGAUUUCCUGAGUAGCGGCGAGCGAAACGGAAAGAGCCCAAACCAAGAAGCUUGCUUCUUGGGGUUGUAGGACACUCUAUACGGAGUUACAAAAGAAAGUUAUAAAUGAAGCGGUCUGGAAAGGCCCGCCAAAGACGGUAACAGCCCGGUAGUUGAAAUGGCUUUCCCUCCAGAGUGGAUCCUGAGUACGGCGGAACACGUGAAAUUCCGUCGGAAUCCGGGAGGACCAUCUCCCAAGGCUAAAUACUCCCUAGUGACCGAUAGUGAACCAGUACCGUGAGGGAAAGGUGAAAAGCACCCCGGAAGGGGAGUGAAACAGUUCCUGAAACCGUGUGCCUACAAGUAGUUAGAGCCCGUUAAUGGGUGAUAGCGUGCCUUUUGUAGAAUGAACCGGCGAGUUACGAUUUGUUGCAAGGUUAAGCGGAAAAAGCGGAGCCGUAGCGAAAGCGAGUCUGAAUAGGGCGCAUAAGUAACAGGUCGUAGACCCGAAACCAGGUGAUCUACCCAUGUCCAGGAUGAAGGUAAGGUAAUACUUACUGGAGGUCCGAACCCACGCACGUUGAAAAGUGCGGGGAUGAGGUGUGGGUAGCGGAGAAAUUCCAAUCGAACUUGGAGAUAGCUGGUUCUCUCCGAAAUAGCUUUAGGGCUAGCCUCGAGGUAAAGAGUCAUGGAGGUAGAGCACUGUUUGGACUAGGGGCCCUUCUCGGGUUACCGAAUUCAGAUAAACUCCGAAUGCCAUGUACUUAUACUCGGGAGUCAGACUGCGAGUGAUAAGAUCCGUAGUCGAAAGGGAAACAGCCCAGACCACCAGUUAAGGUCCCCAAAUAUAUGUUAAGUGGAAAAGGAUGUGGGGUUGCUUAGACAACCAGGAUGUUGGCUUAGAAGCAGCCACCAUUGAAAGAGUGCGUAAUAGCUCACUGGUCGAGUGACCCCGCGCCGAAAAUGUACCGGGGCUAAACAUAUUACCGAAACUGUGGAUGAACCUCAUUAGAGGUUCGUGGUAGGAGAGCGUUCUAAGGGCGGUGAAGUCAGACCGGAAGGACUGGUGGAGCGCUUAGAAGUGAGAAUGCCGGUAUGAGUAGCGAAAGAAGGGUGAGAAUCCCUUCCACCGAAUAUCUAAGGUUUCCUGAGGAAGGCUCGUCCGCUCAGGGUUAGUCGGGACCUAAGCCGAGGCCGAUAGGCGUAGGCGAUGGACAACAGGUAGAGAUUCCUGUACCAGUGCUAAUUGUUUAACCGAUGGGGUGACACAGAAGGAUAGGGAAUCGCACGAAUGGAAAUGUGCGUCCAAGCAGUGAGUGUGAGAAGUAGGCAAAUCCGCUUCUCGCGAAGCAUGAGCUGUGAUGGGGAAGGAAAUUAAGUACGGAAGUUCCUGAUUUCACGCUGUCAAGAAAAGCCUCUAGGAAGAGUAGUACUGCCCGUACCGCAAACCGACACAGGUAGAUGAGGAGAGAAUCCUAAGGUGAGCGAGAGAACUCUCGUUAAGGAACUCGGCAAAAUGACCCCGUAACUUCGGGAGAAGGGGUGCUCUAUUAGGGUGCAAGCCCG